Molecule: ribosomal RNA, 375 nt
Filed under: uncultured organism
Description: partial 16S ribosomal RNA
Rfam family: Bacterial small subunit ribosomal RNA
Source: RNAcentral
GUAGGUGGCAAGCGUUGUCCGGAAUUAUUGGGCGUAAAGCGCGCGCAGGCGGUCCUUUAAGUCUGAUGUGAAAGCCCACGGCUCAACCGUGGAGGGUCAUUGGAAACUGGGGGACUUGAGUACAGAAGAGGAAAGCGGAAUUCCAAGUGUAGCGGUGAAAUGCGUAGAGAUUUGGAGGAACACCAGUGGCGAAGGCGGCUUUCUGGUCUGUAACUGACGCUGAGGCGCGAAAGCGUGGGGAGCAAACAGGAUUAGAUACCCUGGUAGUCCACGCCGUAAACCGAUGAGUGCUAGGUGUUAGGGGGUUUCCCGCCCCCCUUAGUGCUGCAGCUAACGCAUUAAGCACUCCGCCUGGGGAGUACGGCCGCAAGGCUG